Molecule: long non-coding RNA, 160 nt
Organism: Sander lucioperca (pikeperch)
Lineage: Eukaryota; Metazoa; Chordata; Actinopteri; Perciformes; Percidae
Exons: 2
Source: RefSeq, a predicted model, not a curated record
GCAGGGAGAGGAAAGUCCGACUGGCAUUUGAAGGCAGGUGAUGGAGCAGGAUGAGCAGCAGGUGCGCUGAUUGGAGUUGGUACCAGGUGUGGGGAGAAUCAACAGGGGGGGGCGUGUCCUCACUCUGUGGAAAAUGUAGGCGGGAACAGAAACACACACA